GAUCUAUGGAUAGCCAACAAAAUUGGGAUAUGAGUCGAUAAGAUGGUAUCUCCUGUAAUUUUGAUCCAAAAUCCUUCACCGAAUCAAUCCAAGGUCCACAAAUUAAAAAUCUUGGACCCUCAAUUGGGUCCAAUAAGCCAUGUAGAGAGAACAGAGAGAUGGAAGGAAGAGAUAAAGAGAAAGAAAAGAUGAGAAAGAAA
Molecule: long non-coding RNA, 200 nt
Filed under: Elaeis guineensis (African oil palm)
Lineage: Eukaryota; Viridiplantae; Streptophyta; Magnoliopsida; Arecales; Arecaceae
Description: long non-coding RNA (EGUI_LNC077868)
Source: RNAcentral